Molecule: long non-coding RNA, 6679 nt
Filed under: Heterocephalus glaber (naked mole-rat)
Lineage: Eukaryota; Metazoa; Chordata; Mammalia; Rodentia; Bathyergidae
Description: lncRNA (ENSHGLG00100047834.1)
Rfam family: tRNA (bases 3725-3795)
Source: RNAcentral
CGGGGCCUAGGGUGAAGUGGCUCCUCCUGACAGGAGUGUGGGGAAGCGCAAAGCUGCUCACAUCAUGGCAGCUAGGAAGCAGACAGAAAGGAGCAGGAAGGGGCGGAGCUCAGGUCCCUUCAAGGCCAUACCCCAAUGACCUAACUCCCUUUCACUAGGCCCUGCCCUUAAAGGUCUCACCACUUCUCAAUUGCACUGCAGGCUGGGGACUGAGCCUUCAACACUUGGGCUUUGGGGGAUAUUUAACAUCCAAACUACAGCAAUAUGCAAAGUUAAUGUUUAGUUACCAUUUUACUCUCUAGUUUCUUGUCUUGAUUAAAGCCACCUUACUGUUCCCAGUGUUUGUUUUUAAGGACCUCAAAACUUUUGGGGAUGUUUAAAGAAUCAUCACAUAAUGUAAGACUUAAUAAAAUAGAGAAGUUAAAGAGUUUUUCCACUAUAGCAAUGCCCUGAUCUACUUUAGCUGUGACACCAAGCAAAGUGCCAGCACAAAUCACAGCAUCAGAAACACUCUCUGUACAGCUCUAAAUAAAACAGUGCUGGGCUGGAGCAAAAUAAUCCUUUUCCGCUUUAUUAGCCUUCCUUCCAAAUUAAUAAACCCUUGGACCAAUCCUUCUAGGGGGGUCUUUCCCUAAAAGAUCAGUGGGUGGCCAAAUGGGUUGUGGAGUUUCUUGAACCUCAUGAAACAACCACAAAGAGCACGUUCAUUCUGAAACAAAACAUGGAAGAAAGCAAUGGGAUCUCCUGAGCUCUGACCCUCAGGCCCUUCUGCAGCACAGGGGCUCAUUCCCGCUGUCCAGCUCAGAACGGUGGACUUUAAUGUGGGCCCAGAGGGGGUCAGUAGCAGUGAAGGGUAUCACAGCCCCAGGCCAGCGAAGAUGGUCCUGCUCACUUCAGUUUCACAGCCAACUGUCCCACCCAGGUGCGAUGCCUGGCCUCCAGGGCCCAGCCUGGCCGGGGGAGGCGAGCGCUGAGUGGGUGCUAUCAAACCAAGUCCACCCUCCAGAGGUGACCAGCACCUGGGAGUUCCUGUCCGAAAUGUUAGUGGAUGGAGGGUCCCGUGGGGCUUCUUUCCAGGUUCUUGGUGACCUGAACAAGACACUCAGAAAAGGCAGCAAGAGUGUACAUUUAUUGAAGGCAGAAAAAUACACUCACAGCAGCCUUCGGGAGGGGGAAAGGUCUUUUGCAUCUGGAAUUCCUGCAUUAUCUCUCUCUCUUCAUGUAAAGAAGGCAUUAGAAUAGUCGUCCUAUCAAACACUCCCUGGGAAUGAACUGUCCUAUCCCAAAAUGCCUCUGGUUUUUGCCUUAUGUAAAUGAAGGAUCAGGAGCAGAGUCUUGAUUGGCUGUGCCCACAUGCAAAUGAAGGAUUGCGAAGAGCAUCUUCUGACUGGUCCUGUGAACAGCAGCAGAUUCAAAUGAGGGAUUGAAAAUAGCAAGAUUCUGAUUGGUCCAAAACAGCAUCUGAUUGGCUCUGUGCACUGGGUGAUAGUGUCAUUCACUGUACUGGGAAUGCCCCUCCCCCUGGACGUGUCCCUGCCCUACUGCCCUGUCCUAACCUUUAUCCACUCAGCUCUGCGGGCCCAGUGUGCCUGGCCACCAGGCUGUGGUCAUCUCGCCUGGUGACCACACUUCUAGGCUGGUGUGGGUUUUUAUCCUUUUCCCAUUAUUCUUAGGAUUAAGCAAAGGAGACAGAGGACAGAAAGGUUAUUUUCCUCAGAAGUGAGGCACAAAGGGUCAGAAUGCAUCCAGGUUUUCUGCCUUAGGACGGAAGGUGGCCAGGAAUGUCCCGCAGGCUUGGGACAUCCGGUGCCUCGGGAGCGGUUUGUUCAGAUCCUCGGUUUUCUGACACCAUCUGUCCACGGCCUCCUUGUCUACCCCACUCCUUCCAGGGCAGGCAUGGCUGGGAUCAGUAAUAUUUGCUGAAAGCAGAGGAUUUAUUGCUCUUUUGACCUAAUCCACCUGCAAUACAUAGGUCAUAUAACCCAUUUAGUGGUCUAUAAAUAAUGUUUAAUGCAACUUCCUUAAAAAAAAAUUUGACAAAUGAACUCAUAAAACCAUAACCUGAAGUGACGGCCCUUUCUCCUGUCAGCCCCAUGUUUCCUGCCCACCUGGGGUUGCUGGGUUUGAAACAGUGUCCCACAUACUCCCACCCACCAAAUUUACAAGAAAAACGUCACUUCCCAGGUAAAGGCACAACGCCGUGAAUUAUACACUUACAAAAACGUCUUAGAAAUGCAUGUUCCUUGGGAUUAUUGUUAGGGUAUUAAACAAAAGAAAGUCCCAAACUGGGUGUGGUGGCACACACCCACAAUCCCAGCCUUCUGGGAGGCUGAGGCAGGAGGAUCACAAAUUCAAGGCUAGCCUGAGUAAUGCAGAGACUUGGAAAGACCCUGUCUCACAAUAAAAAAGGGGGUGGAGAGGGGGGAUGUAGCUCAGUGCCUAGGCCCUGGGUCCAAUCCCCCAUCCUGCACACAACAAACACCACCAAACCCGCAGACCGUGCUCUGCACCCACGGCCCAGGGCUAUGUGGAUCUGGGGGUGGUUGGUGGUUCCAGAGGUGAGGGCGGGGUCUGCCCCACCGCACCUGACCCUUCCCUGGGACACUCUGCGCCCGGCCCUGCCUGCUAUCUGCACAAAGGCCUCCCGGGCGUCCUGGGCCGGGCCUGCGCACUGUCCCUGCCCACAGCACAGCUGAGGCUGCUCUCCCUGUGCUCUCAGGCGAAGGCCACCAUGCCACGGGGUAAAAGCCAGACACACGCCCAGGCCGCGUGGCCCCAGCUGCCUCGAAGACUCAGACGGGGGUCCUUGAGCUUCCCGCUGCCCGGGCCCUGUGCCCGGCUCGGCUCCCACCCUAUAUGGGCUCUGUCCACACCCAACUGCAGCUCUCAGCUCAGUGCCAGGGACCCUGCCGCUUCCUCCCCCAGCCCAAGGACACUCAAGACCCCAGGACAGGGCCCCGACUGCCUGGCCACCUUACUUGAAGGUUUUUAUUGAUCGGUGGGCUGAUUGCGGUUUUCCAAGGUAGGAGCUUGCUGCGGAGUCCGUGCCCGCGAGCCACUGUCAGAGGCAGCUGGAGCCAGGGUUCAGGGUGGCUGCUCCGCAGCUCCCUGUUGGCAUGGGCCGUGCAUGAUUCGUGGGUUCUGUUUUCAAAGUGCAAUGAGAAAUCCGAGAGAGUCUAACAGGCCUGCUAGUAUGAGCGCCUAACGGGCGCCAUCCUUCCACUGUUCUCUCAGAGCCAUGGCUGCCCUUCCUCAGGCAUGGGAUGUUCAAGAGCGCAGGAAGAGCGCCCCCCAGCAGCUGGCAACGGGACACCGCCAGGCCUGGUGGGCCUGCAGCCAGCGCGGGUUGCGACACAUUAGGGGUGGCCGCUGUGUACAGGCCCUGAGUUGUCCUCCCAGCCAGCAAAAGCCGACCAAAUCCCUGCCAUGCAGACCUUUGUGGGGUUUGCUGAACGCAGUGAGCACCUUCCGUGCGUUGCAGGGUUUGACACUGCGGUGUGACAACGGCCUUACCAGUUUGCGGCCACAACCAUUCGAUGGCGUGUUGGGGCCCGCUGUGCACCCUCACGGUACUGGGUUCUAAGAGACACAAGAGUUCAGGGGUUGUGAGCGUCCGCUCCCUGGAGUGUGGACCUGUCCGGACUCCACGGGUUCUGUCCAGUGCCUGGCAAAUGGAGUGCAUAACAAAGACUUCUUUAAUAAGGUCUUCAGCAGCCAGGCUGGCUGGGAUGUGGCUCAGUGGAGAGAGCUUGCCUAGUAUGCAGCAGGCUCUGGGUUCGAAUCCCAGCACUGCAGGGGCCAAGAGCAAAGGAAGGAAGGAAACAGAAGCUGCUGGACACAAGUUCAAGGGUCGGGGCCACCCUGAGCCCGUGCCAGAAGCAGCGGCACUUUUACUCCUUCUUUGGUUAGGAAGCAGGCUCGCUUGCCCACUUCCUUCCUGGGACACGGGGUCUCCUUGGGGCUUCACUUGUGCAGAGCUCGGUGGGAGACCCAGCACAAGGCUCACCACUGGGUUCCGAGUUAAGACCCUGGUGGCCAUGGAUUUCUGUGGUUUCUUAGACCAAGCCUAUGUUCUGGGGCCCCGGGGUCUGGGUGCAAAGCCAAACAUAGAGAAGAAAAUCACUCGCUCCUUCCCCGGAUCCCCGCCUGUGGCUGUGGCGAGGGCCCUGGAGCCAGCAGAGGCCAUGUCGGUGACACCCGGCCGGGAGCCCUCUCAGGGACCAUGCAGGGCCCAGGAGGAACUGGGCGUGGUGCUGCAUGGGGAAGUCCCCACCAGCGAGGGCACGUAGGCCUCAGGCAGCCCCCUCUGCACACAGACUGCUGCCUGCAUGGGUUGUUUCUGCAUCCAAAGCAACCACAGCGCUGAUUGGAUUGCUCUCCAGACUUGAGGACUGGAUCGACCAGAAGAAUCCAAAAGUUCCUUUGGUAAGAAUAGUAUCCAUUCAGGGCUGGGGAUUUAGCUCCGUGGUUCUGCCGCCUGUCUCGCAAGUGCAAGGUCCCAAGUUCAAUCCCCAGUACCAAAAAAAAAAAAAGAAUAGUAUCCAUUCAUUUAACUCAGAACUAGCCAGAUGUGCCCAUAAUUCCAGCUCUCAGGAGGCUGAAGCAGAAGGAUGGCAGCAAGACUGAGGCCAGUCUGGAUAACUUAGCAAGAGCCUGUCUCGAAAACAAGAAGCAAGCAAGCCUCAGCUCCAAAGGGGCAGGCAGUCAGGUUCCUGUCCCAGAAGGGCUCCCAGGCAGAGGGGCAGGGGCAGGCGUGGGGCCGUGCUGAUGCCCAGGUGUUAAACACGGGGCAGAAUUCAGAUAAACCCUCUCCAGCAAAGAGAGAAGGGCAAGCCUGUGCUCCACACACACGGGCCCCAUCUGGGGCACUGGAAGUGGAGCACAAGGACAGAAUAUUCCCGCCACGCCCUCGAAACUAGUGGGCGCGCGAGGAGGAGCCCCAGGCUCACAGGAGACUGUUCGGAAGUUCUCUCGCCUCCUCACCGCAGACUCCACCCUUCCUUCUUGUCCUUUGUUCUGGAGACAGGGUCUCCUUAUGUAACCCCGCCCGGCCGUGACUUCACAGAGACCCCCUUGCUCCAUGCACCUCCCUGCCUUGCCUGCCUUCUACUUUUGCUCCUUAACGACGCCCCUGGAGCUGCCCAACGAGACCUUGGGACCAGCCUCGUUGUAACUGCUGCGCUCCCUGACCGGCCCCUGCUGGGCCUGGGCUUGCGGUGACUCCUCCGACCCGCAGCCGGCUCUGUGCACCCCGGGCUGAGCCUGUGCUUCCUCCCAGACACCUCCGCUGGGACCCCCGGCAUCUGUGCUGCAAGCUGCCGCUGCACGCCCCGCAGCCAGCUCCCCAGCCCAGCCCUGUGAACGCCCGCGGCGACGCUGGCUCCUGUCCGGGAAGCCCACCAGGCUGCUGCCGCCCCGGGGCUGGGGGAGUAGGGUCCCCGUCCUCCUGCGAGGCGCCCGGCUCCUCACUGUCGCAUGCCGUCUCCCCGAACUCUGUCCCGGAAAUCUAGGGGCCGCUACUGCUGACCGGCGCUAGGACAGCGGCAGGAACAAGGACCCCGGGCUUGGGCCAUGGGAGGUGCCCCGGGAGCCCCAAGCCCCCCGGCCCCGCUCUGAGGUCACACAGGGUGCUGCUGGGCUGGGAGAGGAGGACGUGGCCCACCCUCGAGGACCCCGGCUGUCCCCAGGAAUGAGUUGGUCCCCAAGCCACCUGGGGCUGCAGUCGGGGGAGGGGGACAGGUCAUCUGCCGCCACCUCCUUGCUGUCCACGGGAAAACGGGGUCUCCCAACUCCAGCCCUGGAAGGAGAGAGCUGGAAACCACUCCUGCCUGCAGCCCCAGGAGGAGGGACAACUCCUGUUGGUGAUGUUUGGAAGAAGAGACAGAACUCAUCUUGUUUUGUUUUGUUUUUGGCUUUUUGACACACGGUCUCACUAUGCAGUUCAGGCUGGUCUUGAACUCACUAUGUAGCCCAGGCUGGCCUCAAACUCAUGGAGAUCCUCCUGCCUCAGCCUCCACAGUGCUGGGGACUAUAGGCAUGGGCCACCACACCCAGUUUGCUCUUAAUUUUAGAGUUUGUUUUCAGGAUGCUAUGAGUUGAAUUAUGUCCCCCUAAAAAGGAACCCUGAAGUCCUAAACCCUCAAAAUGUGACAAGAUGUGGACACAGAGGCAUCCAAAAUAAUAUCCGGUUAUGUGGCCCCUAAGUCCAUCUGACCAAGUCCUCAGGUGAGGGCAGCCACUGCGGAGGCCAGGUGGAUCCCAGGUGACCAUGGGGACAGAGAUGACGGGGAAGCUGCCAGGCUGAGAGCUGGAAAAGGGACACACGAGGCCACCUGCCUCUGCCCAGGCGGCGGUCAACUGGCUUCCCCAGCCAGGGCCAGGGGAAUCAGGCGGGCAGAAAGCGAGCGUCUCAGGCAGGCCUUUGCCUCCUCCAAACAGCACCCACUCGCUGCACGACUGUUCCCGAGGGCUGAGGUCCUAGCACCCCAAAUCGGCUAAAGCAUGUGCUUGCCACAGCCAAGCGCACUCACCUGAGGGCAGCCUGUGAGACUGCGAACAGGCUGGCGCACCUGCAAUCCCAGCUGCUCAGAGGCUGAGGCAGGCGGAUCCCAGGUCCGGGGUCAGCCGGGGGAAUUACUCUCCUUGGUCCUGACCCCGCCCGCCCAGGGUGCCAGGCGUC